Molecule: long non-coding RNA, 428 nt
Filed under: Callithrix jacchus (white-tufted-ear marmoset)
Lineage: Eukaryota; Metazoa; Chordata; Mammalia; Primates; Cebidae
Description: lncRNA (ENSCJAG00000078988.1)
Source: RNAcentral
AUAUAAAGUGGAACAGAAAUAAGACUCAGCGCUGAAACUCUCCACUAUUGAGGUGUUGAGGCGUGUUCAUCCAGGAAAGUGCACUGAAGGUGGAUACCAAGCUAUUCCUCUAUUCUAUGUGGUUUGGAUUCGUCUGUUAGUCAUGGGAUAUCAUCAUCGCUCGUUCCUUUGUUGAAGCAACAUGACACACACCAUGCCAAUCAGAGACUUUUAUUUAUGCACAGAGUUUGUUAAGGAAUCUUAACAAUACAAGCAAUUCAAACCAUAUUAUCUUUCUAAAAAUUGUAUGGGCUUAUCUUCGUAUACAUUCACUAAUGCAUCUCUGAUCACCUGUGGACUGGCUUGGGCUAAUUCCUUUAUGAUGGCUGCCUUUGAGAAAGUUGAAUCAUCUGUGGCCUCUCUCCAUAUGAUCACUCAUACUUCAACAA